UACGUAGGGGGCUAGCGUUGUUCGGAAUUACUGGGCGUAAAGCGCACGUAGGCGGCUUUGUAAGUUAGAGGUGAAAGCCCAGGGCUCAACCCUGGAAUUGCCUUUAAGACUGCAUCGCUUGAAUCAUGGAGAGGUGAGUGGAAUUCCGAGUGUAGAGGUGAAAUUCGUAGAUAUUCGGAAGAACACCAGUGGCGAAGGCGACUCACUGGACAUGUGUUGACGCUGAGGUGCGAAAGCGUGGGGAGCAAACAGG
Molecule: ribosomal RNA, 253 nt
Filed under: uncultured bacterium
Lineage: Bacteria
Description: partial 16S ribosomal RNA
Rfam family: Bacterial small subunit ribosomal RNA
Source: RNAcentral